GGACGUGAGGUGAGAUGGGGCCGGGUGUGGAGCGGGGAGCAGCUGGUGGGUGCUUUGCACCCAUCAAAUAUUCCCCAUGGGUGCUCCAGCCCCUGAGCACCCAGGGAGUCGGCGCCUAAGGUGCCACUUUUGAUGUGAUCAGUGGGGGGAGUGGUUUCUUCCCCUGCUUCCCCCUAGCUACACUCCCCCGCCCCUAGGAGCCAGAGGAACCUGCUGGAUGCUUCCUGAGAGCUGCCCCAGGGAAGUGAGGUCACACAGUAUGGCGGCUCGGGCCCGGAGACGCUGAGGAGAUCCGUGACUCUGGGGAAUCCGCGUCCAUCCGACGGGGAGCGGCGCCGCCCGCUCGUCUCACUGGUUUCGAGCGGCGGGACUAGGGGCUGCAAUGGUCACAGGAGUUGCUAGGCUCUGAACUGGCAUCCGUGAAGCUGACUUGCGGGGCCAGAGCAGCCGAACUGGGCCGCUGUCAUGGAGCUGAGAGUCGGGAACCGAUACCGGCUGGGCCGGAAGAUCGGGAGCGGUUCUUUCGGGGAUAUUUACCUAGGAACAGACAUUGCUGCUGGUGAAGAGGUUGCCAUCAAAUUGGAAUGUGUGAAAACCAAGCAUCCUCAGCUCCACAUAGAGAGUAAAAUCUACAAAAUGAUGCAGGGAGGAGUGGGUAUUCCCACAAUUAAAUGGUGUGGAGCUGAAGGAGACUAUAAUGUAAUGGUGAUGGAGUUGUUGGGACCAAGUCUUGAAGAUCUAUUCAAUUUUUGUUCAAGGAAAUUCAGUCUGAAGACAGUCCUGUUGCUUGCUGACCAAAUGAUUAGUCGAAUUGAAUAUAUCCACUCUAAGAACUUCAUCCACCGAGAUGUAAAACCUGAUAACUUCCUGAUGGGUUUGGGAAAGAAAGGCAAUCUGGUCUACAUAAUAGACUUUGGGUUAGCCAAGAAGUAUCGGGAUGCUCGAACUCACCAGCACAUUCCAUAUCGUGAAAAUAAAAACUUAACAGGAACUGCCCGUUAUGCAUCUAUAAACACUCAUCUUGGAAUCGAGCAGUCUCGUAGAGACGACUUGGAGUCCUUGGGCUAUGUACUGAUGUAUUUUAACCUGGGCUCCCUCCCGUGGCAGGGACUGAAGGCAGCAACAAAAAGACAGAAAUAUGAACGUAUCAGUGAAAAGAAAAUGUCUACACCCAUUGAGGUUUUGUGUAAAGGAUAUCCUUCUGAGUUUGCUACAUACCUGAAUUUCUGCCGCUCUUUGCGUUUUGAUGACAAACCAGACUAUUCUUAUCUAAGACAGUUAUUCAGAAACCUGUUCCACCGACAAGGCUUCUCCUAUGACUAUGUAUUUGACUGGAACAUGCUCAAAUUUGGUGCAAGCAGAGCUGCUGAAGAUGCUGAACGUGAAAGAAGAGAACGAGAGGAAAGAUUGAGACAUACACGAAAUCCUGCAGUACGUGGUUUACCCUCCACUGCUUCUGGGAGGCUGAGGGGAACGCAAGACGUAGCUCCACCUCCUCCCCUUACUCCAACUUCGCAUACUGCUAAUGCCUCUCCUCGGCCAGUGUCUGGAAUGGAGCGAGAACGGAAAGUGAGCAUGAGACUGCAUCGUGGUGCCCCUGUCAAUAUCUCUUCGUCUGAUUUAACAGGCCGCCAAGAUACUUCUCGCAUGUCAACUUCACAGAAUAGCAUUCCCUUCGAACAUCAUGGCAAGUAGCUGCUCGUCUCCUCGUUGGAAGGCAGCACUGGAGGUCAUUUCCUGUGUUAACCUUAAUACAGAAGGAAAAUGCAGAUAACAUGAUGUGGCUACAGAUUCCUGCUCGUGUGACUACCAGUGUUCUCCAGUCUGCUGUGCACCGAUGAAAAUAAUUUUGCCAUAGAGGGCAGUUAAUGCAUGGCUGAUCGCCUAUGUUACCAAUGGCUUUACUAGCAAAAAUACCCCAACCUAGAGCAGAAACAUUACAACUGGAGCUUUCCAUGCCACUUACAAAGAGAUACUUGCAGGAACCUGGACAGACUCCAACAGCUGCCAUUAAAAGAGGCUCUUGCCAGAAACCCAAUGACCUUAAGUGAACUCUGUAGUAACAGGGCUGGAAAAGGAAGAGAUGGUUUACAGAGUUAAUCGCCUGUUAUUGAAUAGCCAUUUCAGUUCUCCCUCCACAGGCGGCAGACUUUACCCCUUUUUAUUAUUCUACUGUAACUAUAAAUCUUUUACCUGGUUGGUUUAAGAAAAUUUUAUAUCAUUUUGCUAAGAUUAUUGGCUUAAUUCUGUGUAAAGAAUUCUGUCUUGCUUUUGUCUGAUUUAAAAAUGUCAUAUAUGAACAAUCCUGAAUUAAAGACAAUGACUUGAAAUUUCUUGUAAAGUUUAGUCUGGCAGGGAAUAUGUAAAUUAAUUAAAACCAUCUGAUUUUAUUUAAACUGUUUACUUUUUUUGGUAUAGUCCCAUUCAGGAUGAGGGGUGGGGGAGUUCUCCUGAAAGUUUUUUAACAUGCAUUAUAGUUUUAUUACUUUGCUUCUUCCACAUUUUAAUGGAAAUCUCCAUGCAACACAAACAUUUUUGAAUUUUUACUCUUCUAUAGUAUAGUCAGAGAAAGCAAAAGAUACUGGAUAGAUGUGUCUGGGCUCUUUAGAGAUGGUGAUAUUGAAAGAUAACUUAUUCCUAAAGAAUGUGAAGAAUAAAGAGGGAGAAGGGCUCUGAUAUUUAAGAGGAAUUUGUUGGAGUUUAGAGAUGGUAAGCAUGGCAUGUGGUUCUCCUUCAUUUGAGGAGGAGGAUUGUGUAUAAAACACUCUUCCUUGGUAAGAUCUAGUUUUCUACAUUGAGACUGGCUGGUUUAAAGACCAUUGCAAGUGGCACAAGAAUUACUGCCAUUGCAGACUGAGUGAAUUUGUGUACAGUUGCUUCAUCAUCCACAUUCAUAAAAAACAAGUGAUUCUGGUCGGCUGUGUAUUGCCAAGACACAAAAAGGAAUUAUAAACAAAAUAUUCCUGCUGUGAAAUCCUGAGAACUGAUUAUCAGGCAUGAAUUACAUUCUUAAUAUAAUAUAAAUUGUAUAUUUCUGGGAUUGCUAUUCUUUAUCUGGAGUUAAAUGACUUGUUCAUAUGCCUAGAAUGUCCAAAAUAAAAAGUGCUCUUGGCAGAUGUCCCUAUUAAGGAAUAUGGAAGGAUCUUUAUAUUGUUUCUAACUUAAAAGAUUUUCCUAAAGUGAUGCUAAAUAUUUUAUCCUUGCAGUAACUAGAAAAGUUGAAUUAUUAGUCAUAUUCAAGCAAAGUAAUGUCAAUUUCCCUCUUGAAAAUGAAAGUGCAAUACAUAAGUGUUGUUUGAAAGAUUCCGUCCUAUUUGGAAACAUAGGCUAAAAACAAAUCCAUUAAUGUUUUCCUUGUGCCUCAAACUUUUUUAGCAUAGUUGUUGUUCCAGAGUUUUGUAAAUUCUUUUUCUAUCCAAAAUCCACGGACUAAAUCUGUCAGUCACUUUUCUUGAGAUAUUUCAGAAUGCUAACUAAUUGCUUGUGCUUGCUCUAGAUUUCACUGGGGGAAACCUUUGUUUCAGGGGAGUGCAAUGGAAAGGUUUAAAAGUUUUGUCCAUGGAUAAUUUUGCAUAACAGAAUCCCCUACUCAGUUACUGUAGAUUUCAGGACUUAAGGCAUGUGCACUACCAUUUGUACAGUUCUACAUUUCACUGUGCUUUCUUUGUAAAUAUGUGUGGUUAAUGAUAUAAUGUUAGAGAGACUUAGAAAGGCAGCCUUUUUUUCCCGUCCUCUGUAUCCGGAACCUUAAAUUGCUGUACUGUACUUAAAAGCUGACUGAUGCAAAUUUCUAGAAUUGUACUUGGUUGUGGGCUGUUCUUGCCCUUUCACAAUAGUUAUAUCCCAUCACCUGCAAAAAAUAGUUAGAAAGUCUGUAUAAACCUGUGUAUUGGUAACCAAUAUCUCAGAACACCUCAUUUGUACUAUCACUGUAUUUGUGUACUUUACCAAUUGUGUAAAUAAUAAAUUCAUAAUGACUUCUA
RNA transcript from Dermochelys coriacea (leatherback sea turtle), 3983 nucleotides. It is a transcript of the gene named casein kinase 1 delta, with no coding region annotated. The transcript is spliced from 12 exons. Lineage: Eukaryota; Metazoa; Chordata; Testudines; Dermochelyidae. The record is from RefSeq and is a predicted model, not a curated record.